AUUAAUUUUAAAUUUGAUGGCAGAUUUUUUCUUGCCCUUACUAAAAAUCAUAACUUUAGUUUUAGUAAUAUUGACUUUCAACUUCCAUCUGUUACAAUAUAUUCCCAGGCUGUCCAGACAAGCUUGUAAACCCUUUUCACUCUCUGACAGUAGAAUUAAAUCAUCUGCAUAUUGUAAACAAUUAAAUUGUGUUGUAAUGAGUGACACAGGAAAUGUUUUUGAAAAAUCAAAUAUUUUUGGCAGAUCAUUAGUGUAUAUAUUAAAUAACAGAGGGCUAAGACCAUCACCUUGUCUAACACCCCUAUUGGCUCUAUGAGCUUCUGAAAUAAAGUUUUCUUUUUUUACCACAAACUUUGAAUUAGAGUACAUAUGUUUAAUUAUCUUAUAGAAAUUUCCUCCAAUUUUAAGAUUUAAUAGUUUUUUAAGUAAUCCUGAG
RNAcentral lists this long non-coding RNA (436 nucleotides) under Mytilus galloprovincialis (Mediterranean mussel). The record is from RNAcentral. Lineage: Eukaryota; Metazoa; Mollusca; Bivalvia; Mytilida; Mytilidae.